This 497-nucleotide ribosomal RNA is filed under the name uncultured bacterium. RNAcentral's name for it is "partial 16S ribosomal RNA". It matches the Rfam family "Bacterial small subunit ribosomal RNA", at positions 28 to 507 of the family's 1533-position model. The record is from RNAcentral.
GAUGAACGCUGGCGGCGUGCCUAAUACAUGCAAGUCGAGCGAACAGAUGAGGUGCUUGCUCCUCUGACGUUAGCGGCGGACGGGUGAGUAACACGUGGAUAACCUACCUAUAAGACUGGGAUAACUUCGGGAAACCGGAGCUAAUACCGGACAAUAUAUUGAACCGCAUGGUUCAAUAGUGAAAGACGGUUUUGCUGUCACCUAUAGAUGGAUCCGCGCCGCAUUAGCUAGUUGGUAAGGUAACGGCUUACCAAGGCAACGAUGCGUAGCCGACCUGAGAGGAUGAUCGGCCACACUGGAACUGAGACACGGUCCAGACUCCUACGGGAGGCAGCAGUAGGGAAUCUUCCGCAAUGGGCGAAAGCCUGACGGAGCAACGCCGCGUGAGUGAUGAAGGUCUUCGGAUCGUAAAACUCUGUUAUUAGGGAAGAACAAGUGUGGAAGUAACUAUGCACGGCUUGACGGUACCGAAACAGAAAGCCACGGCUAACUACGUG